GGAGUUAGCCGGUGCUUCUUCUGUGAGUGAUGUCCUUCCUGCCGGCUAUUAACCCGCAGGCCUUCUUCCUCACUGAAAGUGCUUUACAACCCGAAGGCCUUCUUCACACACGCGGCAUGGCUGGAUCAGGGUUGCCCCCAUUGUCCAAUAUUCCCCACUGCUGCCUCCCGUAGGAGUCUGGGCCGUGUCUCAGUCCCAGUGUGGCUGAUCAUCCUCUCAGACCAGCUACGGAUCGUCGCCUUGGUGAGCCGUUACCUCACCAACCAGCUAAUCCGACAUAGGCUCAUCCGAUAGCGCGAGGCCCGAAGGUCCCCCGCUUUCCCCCGUAGGGCGUAUGCGGUAUUAGCCUGGGUUUCCCCAGGUUAUCCCCCACUACCGGGCAGAUUCCUAUGCAUUACUCACCCGUCCGCCGCUCGCCACCAGGGAGCAAGCUCCCCGUGCUGCCGCUCGACUUGCAUGUGUAGCUGCCGCCACGCGUCAUCUGAGCCAUGAUACAACUACUGA
This 504-nucleotide ribosomal RNA is filed under the name uncultured bacterium. RNAcentral's name for it is "partial 16S ribosomal RNA". The record is from RNAcentral.